UACGGAGGGUCCAAGCGUUGUCCGGAAUCACUGGGUGUAAAGGGUGCGUAGGCGGGCUAGUAAGUCAGGGGUGAAAGCCCGCGGCUCAACCGCGGAACUGCCCUUGAUACUGCAAGUCUUGAGUCCUGGAGGGGCUGGCGGAAUUCGUGGUGUAGCGGUGAAAUGCUUAGAUAUCGUCAAGAACACCGAUAGUGUAGACAGCUUACUAGACUUCAACUGACGCUGAGGCACGAAAGUGUGGGGAUCAAACAGG
This 253-nucleotide ribosomal RNA is filed under the name uncultured bacterium. Its description in RNAcentral is "partial 16S ribosomal RNA". It matches the Rfam family "Bacterial small subunit ribosomal RNA", at positions 524 to 776 of the family's 1533-position model. The record is from RNAcentral.